Molecule: unclassified non-coding RNA, 506 nt
Filed under: plant metagenome
Description: partial contains 5.8S ribosomal RNA, internal transcribed spacer 2, and large subunit ribosomal RNA
Rfam family: 5.8S ribosomal RNA (bases 1-105)
Source: RNAcentral
GAAAUGCGAUAAGUAAUGUGAAUUGCAGAAUUCCGUGACUCAUCGAAAUUUUGAACGCAUAUUGCACUUGAAGGUAUUCCUUCAAGUAUGCUUGUUUGAGUGUCUGUGCAUUUAUCUCUUUAAUUCAUCAUUAAUCCUUUUGGGUUGAUGCUCGUUCAUGUCUCUUUUUAAGCAGUGGAGAAAGACCUAGCUUAAAAAAGAGUGUUUGAUGGCGGGCAAUCAUUAAUGAUUUGUUAAAGGACUUUGCUUGGUUUUCUUUUACACCAAGUCAAAUGCAUUUGUGACUCUAUGUCUUUUCAUGUUUGAAAAAAGAGAUUAGAGUGCUAAUUCAUGUUGAAUGUCAAGUCUUUUUUGACUUGUUCAAUUAAUACGGGUUUGCAUCUUUACUCUCUUUUGAAAAACAACAAGGCAUAUGGCGGCCACAUUAAAGAGACCUAGUCUCUUUAAGAAACAACUAGUGCCAUUUUGGACCUCAAAUCAAGCAAGGCUACCCGCUGAACUUAAGC